Molecule: long non-coding RNA, 290 nt
Filed under: Carica papaya (papaya)
Lineage: Eukaryota; Viridiplantae; Streptophyta; Magnoliopsida; Brassicales; Caricaceae
Description: long non-coding RNA (CPAP_LNC007015)
Source: RNAcentral
CCCAACAUCAGUGCAUUAACCACAUCCGUACCUAACAAUAACAGAAUAUAAGGGUUACUGACCCUGGCCCCAGCCACAUUGAGAAGAGACACCGCGUUGAACUUACUCCUGCCUUACCUCCACCUUUAGGUAAACCCUUUCUGCCAACCCAGUCAUGUAAACAUUGUGGGCAAAACCAUGCCACCGCGUAAACAAUGCCUACUAUAAGUAUGGCAGCACUCAACACUUUGUGAGGGAUUGCCCUCAAAAUCCCCGUAACAUUAUAAGGCCCAUAACAAAGGAAGAAUCUU